Molecule: ribosomal RNA, 463 nt
Filed under: Hanseniaspora uvarum
Lineage: Eukaryota; Fungi; Ascomycota; Saccharomycetes; Saccharomycodales; Saccharomycodaceae
Description: partial large subunit ribosomal RNA
Rfam family: Eukaryotic large subunit ribosomal RNA
Source: RNAcentral
UCCCGAGUGAAGCGGGUAAAAGCUCAAAUUUGAAAUCUGGUACUUUCAGUGCCCGAGUUGUAAUUUGUAGAAUUUGUCUUUGAUUAGGUCCUUGUCUAUGUUCCUUGGAACAGGACGUCAUAGAGGGUGAGAAUCCCGUUUGGCGAGGAUACCUUUUCUCUGUAAGACUUUUUCGAAGAGUCGAGUUGUUUGGGAAUGCAGCUCAAAGUGGGUGGUAAAUUCCAUCUAAAGCUAAAUAUUGGCGAGAGACCGAUAGCGAACAAGUACAGUGAUGGAAAGAUGAAAAGAACUUUGAAAAGAGAGUGAAAAAGUACGUGAAAUUGUUGAAAGGGAAGGGCAUUUGAUCAGACAUGGUGGUUUUUGCAUGCACGCGCCUCUCCUGGGCGGGGGCCUCUCAAAAAUUUGUUUGGGCCACCAUUAUUGCAGGCGGCAGGAUCAAUCAUAAAGAAUGUACUUCCUUCGG